CUAGCUCUCUUUGCCUUUUGGCUUAGAUCAAGUGUAGUAACUGUUCUUUUUAGUUUAAUAUCUAGAACGCCCCCACGGGGGCAUAUUCAGAUUAAACCAAUUUUUGGAAUCCGGCUGGAGGGGCGCUGGGCUCCGCUCAUCUUCACCGGCCAUAGUGUCGCUCGUAUUGCACUGCCUCGGGCUGACGCGAAUGGGCU
Macrophomina phaseolina MS6 is the source of this 197-nucleotide small nuclear RNA. It matches the Rfam family "U2 spliceosomal RNA". From Rfam's summary of the family: U2 is a small nuclear RNA (snRNA) component of the spliceosome (involved in pre-mRNA splicing). Complementary binding between U2 snRNA (in an area lying towards the 5' end but 3' to hairpin I) and the branchpoint sequence (BPS) of the intron results the bulging out of an unpaired adenosine, on the BPS, which initiates a nucleophilic attack at the intronic 5' splice site, thus starting the first of two transesterification reactions that mediate splicing. NCBI's taxonomy places the organism in Eukaryota, Fungi, Ascomycota, Dothideomycetes, Botryosphaeriales, Botryosphaeriaceae. The record is from Rfam.